This 270-nucleotide ribosomal RNA is filed under the name uncultured archaeon. RNAcentral describes it as "partial 16S ribosomal RNA". It matches the Rfam family "Archaeal small subunit ribosomal RNA", at positions 477 to 747 of the family's 1478-position model. The record is from RNAcentral.
CAGCUCUCCGAGUGGUGGGGAUGCUUAUUGGGCCUAAAGCAUUCGUAGCCUGCUUGGCAAGUCCUCCGUUAAAUCCAACGAUUCAAUCGUUGGGCUGCGGGGGACACUGUCCGGCUAGGGGGCGGGAGAGGCCGACGGUAUCCUCGGGGUAGGGGUGAAAUCCUAUAAUCCCGGGAGGACCACCAGUGGCGAAGGCUGUCGGCUAGAACGCGCUCGACGGUGAGGGAUGAAAGCUGGGGGAGCGAACCGGAUUAGAUACCCGAGUAGUCC